This 484-nucleotide ribosomal RNA is filed under the name uncultured bacterium. RNAcentral describes it as "partial 16S ribosomal RNA". It matches the Rfam family "Bacterial small subunit ribosomal RNA", at positions 30 to 507 of the family's 1533-position model. The record is from RNAcentral.
AUUGAACGCUGGCGGCAGGCCUAACACAUGCAAGUCGAGCGGAUGAAGGGAGCUUGCUCCUGGAUUCAGCGGCGGACGGGUGAGUAAUGCCUAGGAAUCUGCCUGGUAGUGGGGGAUAACGUCCGGAAACGGGCGCAAAUACCGCAUACGUCCUGAGGGAGAAAGUGGGGGAUCUUCGGACCUCACGCUAUCAGAUGAGCCUAGGUCGGAUUAGCUAGUUGGUGGGGUAAAGGCCUACCAAGGCGACGAUCCGUAACUGGUCUGAGAGGAUGAUCAGUCACACUGGAACUGAGACACGGUCCAGACUCCUACGGGAGGCAGCAGUGGGGAAUAUUGGACAAUGGGCGAAAGCCUGAUCCAGCCAUGCCGCGUGUGUGAAGAAGGUCUUCGGAUUGUAAAGCACUAUAAGUUGGGAGGAAGGGCAGUAAGUUAAUACCUUGCUGUUUUGACGUUACCAACAGAAUAAGCACCGGCUAACUUCGUG